RNAcentral lists this ribosomal RNA (1522 nucleotides) under Salmonella enterica. Its description in RNAcentral is "bacterial SSU rRNA". It matches the Rfam family "Bacterial small subunit ribosomal RNA". The record is from RNAcentral. Lineage: Bacteria; Pseudomonadati; Pseudomonadota; Gammaproteobacteria; Enterobacterales; Enterobacteriaceae.
AGAGUUUGAUCAUGGCUCAGAUUGAACGCUGGCGGCAGGCCUAACACAUGCAAGUCGAACGGUAACAGGAAGCAGCUUGCUGCUUCGCUGACGAGUGGCGGACGGGUGAGUAAUGUCUGGGAAACUGCCUGAUGGAGGGGGAUAACUACUGGAAACGGUGGCUAAUACCGCAUAAUGUCGCAAGACCAAAGAGGGGGACCUUCGGGCCUCUUGCCAUCAGAUGUGCCCAGAUGGGAUUAGCUUGUUGGUGAGGUAACGGCUCACCAAGGCGACGAUCCCUAGCUGGUCUGAGAGGAUGACCAGCCACACUGGAACUGAGACACGGUCCAGACUCCUACGGGAGGCAGCAGUGGGGAAUAUUGCACAAUGGGCGCAAGCCUGAUGCAGCCAUGCCGCGUGUAUGAAGAAGGCCUUCGGGUUGUAAAGUACUUUCAGCGGGGAGGAAGGUGUUGUGGUUAAUAACCGCAGCAAUUGACGUUACCCGCAGAAGAAGCACCGGCUAACUCCGUGCCAGCAGCCGCGGUAAUACGGAGGGUGCAAGCGUUAAUCGGAAUUACUGGGCGUAAAGCGCACGCAGGCGGUCUGUCAAGUCGGAUGUGAAAUCCCCGGGCUCAACCUGGGAACUGCAUUCGAAACUGGCAGGCUUGAGUCUUGUAGAGGGGGGUAGAAUUCCAGGUGUAGCGGUGAAAUGCGUAGAGAUCUGGAGGAAUACCGGUGGCGAAGGCGGCCCCCUGGACAAAGACUGACGCUCAGGUGCGAAAGCGUGGGGAGCAAACAGGAUUAGAUACCCUGGUAGUCCACGCCGUAAACGAUGUCUACUUGGAGGUUGUGCCCUUGAGGCGUGGCUUCCGGAGCUAACGCGUUAAGUAGACCGCCUGGGGAGUACGGCCGCAAGGUUAAAACUCAAAUGAAUUGACGGGGGCCCGCACAAGCGGUGGAGCAUGUGGUUUAAUUCGAUGCAACGCGAAGAACCUUACCUGGUCUUGACAUCCACGGAAGUUUUCAGAGAUGAGAAUGUGCCUUCGGGAACCGUGAGACAGGUGCUGCAUGGCUGUCGUCAGCUCGUGUUGUGAAAUGUUGGGUUAAGUCCCGCAACGAGCGCAACCCUUAUCCUUUGUUGCCAGCGGUCCGGCCGGGAACUCAAAGGAGACUGCCAGUGAUAAACUGGAGGAAGGUGGGGAUGACGUCAAGUCAUCAUGGCCCUUACGACCAGGGCUACACACGUGCUACAAUGGCGCAUACAAAGAGAAGCGACCUCGCGAGAGCAAGCGGACCUCAUAAAGUGCGUCGUAGUCCGGAUUGGAGUCUGCAACUCGACUCCAUGAAGUCGGAAUCGCUAGUAAUCGUGGAUCAGAAUGCCACGGUGAAUACGUUCCCGGGCCUUGUACACACCGCCCGUCACACCAUGGGAGUGGGUUGCAAAAGAAGUAGGUAGCUUAACCUUCGGGAGGGCGCUUACCACUUUGUGAUUCAUGACUGGGGUGAAGUCGUAACAAGGUAACCGUAGGGGAACCUGCGGUUG